Molecule: non-coding RNA, 345 nt
Organism: Peromyscus maniculatus bairdii (prairie deer mouse)
Lineage: Eukaryota; Metazoa; Chordata; Mammalia; Rodentia; Cricetidae
Source: RefSeq, a predicted model, not a curated record
UCUAGAGGAGCCUCUUACAAAUGUGGUUAUAAUUCAGGGGCUCUGCUUAGUCUCAGUUUGGUCCACUUUGGGGUGUGUGGUCGCUGUGAUACAAAAGUAACAAAUGCAUCAACACUUCUGGAGCUUCUCAUUGUCCAGACAGCAUUAGGUUCUCUGCUCUAGUUUAAAACGUCGGCUAAGCCUCACUCGGGAACUACAACUCCCAUAAGGCUCCACGCCCUCGCCUUCCCACUCCGCUACUUCGACUCGGAAAGGCGCAGCCCAAGGGGCGGAGCCUCGCGCAAAGGAAGGGACCACAACUCCCAGAGAGCUCCGCGCCCUGGUCGCCUCCGAGACCAAGAUGGC